This 26-nucleotide non-coding RNA is filed under the name Homo sapiens (human). Lineage: Eukaryota; Metazoa; Chordata; Mammalia; Primates; Hominidae. The record is from RNAcentral.
UUGAGAAAUAGGAUGGUUGCUGUGUC